UACGGAGGGGGCUAGCGUUGUUCGGAAUUACUGGGCGUAAAGCGCACGUAGGCGGCUUUGCAAGUCAGAGGUGAAAGCCCGGGGCUCAACCCCGGAAUUGCCUUUGAGACUGCAUCGCUAGAAUUGUGGAGAGGUAAGUGGAAUUCCGAGUGUAGAGGUGAAAUUCGUAGAUAUUCGGAAGAACACCAGUGGCGAAGGCGACUUACUGGACACAUAUUGACGCUGAGGUGGCGAAAGCGUGGGAGCAAACAGG
This 253-nucleotide ribosomal RNA is filed under the name uncultured bacterium. RNAcentral's name for it is "partial 16S ribosomal RNA". It matches the Rfam family "Bacterial small subunit ribosomal RNA", at positions 524 to 776 of the family's 1533-position model. The record is from RNAcentral.